RNAcentral lists this non-coding RNA (120 nucleotides) under Methylibium sp. NZG. RNAcentral's name for it is "ZMP/ZTP riboswitch aptamer (pfl RNA motif)". It matches the Rfam family "ZMP/ZTP riboswitch aptamer (pfl RNA motif)". Rfam says of the family: Previously known as pfl RNA. ZMP is also known as AICAR. RNAcentral also lists the same sequence under 1 other name. The record is from Rfam by way of RNAcentral. Lineage: Bacteria; Pseudomonadati; Pseudomonadota; Betaproteobacteria; Burkholderiales; Sphaerotilaceae.
ACCGCGCUGCACAACUGGCGAUGAGGCCUUCCAAAGGCCGGAGGUGGUCAACCACCGGGAAGUGUGGUCGGGGCGCGCACAUGGCGCGCCACGGUUCAGCCGUUCGCCUGGGCAGCUUCG